CAUCUUGAUACUGCUGUGAUAACUGUGAUUAUAGCUUUUCACCAAGUCUUGUAAGACGUCGGUGUAUCGCAGAGUGUUGUUUGCUGUAAAAUAUCUCCACAUUCUACCUUUUAAUGUACGAUUAAAUCUUUCAAUCACAGAGGCCUUAAGGUGGCUGGCGGUGGAAAAAUGAACGAUAUUGUGUUUUCUCAUCAAAGCUUCAAAACUCUUGUUAAAAAAUUCUUUCCCCGCAUCAGUUUGUAUUUUUUCAGGCGUCUGACUUGACUCAAAAAUGGAUUCAAACGCCUUUACCACCUCAGCCGCUGAUUUUCUCUUCAGAGCCCUGACGUAAGCUUUUUUGGAAAAUAUGUCUAUGACCGUUAAUAAAUAAUUAUAUCCGUCAUUAUGCUCCGACAGGGCUUGCAUAUCGCACAGGUCCGCUUGAAAUUGGUUUAAAGGGCGGGGGGCGAAAACCCUGUUUCUUGGAAAAUGUAUCCUGGCCGGUUUGUGUAGAGUGUAAGCGUCCUGUCCCUGUAGAAAUGUUUUAACAUUUUCUCGAGGAACCGUCUUUCCCAUUUCUUCUUGCACCCCCUUAUGGAGCCGCUCUACACCACCGAGGCUACCGGGAUGCGCGGGAUCAUAGUACACUUUUUCCAUGAAGCGUGUCUCAGACAUGUUGAAAACAGAAUGAGAAGGGAUGCUCGUUUGAGAGCCUUCUUCAGUCACACACACCAUUCCCGGUUUGAUCAGUUUCAACACACCCCAGUCAUUGGAAGACAUCGUAGCCGACAACAUAGGCCCCUCAGUGGAAGAUUCUUCACGCUGAUAGAGAAUCAACUCCCCCGUCUUGUAACGGAACACAUACCCAAAACUCCCUGUUUGACUAUAAGGCUCCAAAGACCAUUCUUGCUGCAAAGGCUCAGAAGGUGACGCCUGAGAACGCUGUACAAACACCGUGGAUUUUUCAACUACUUUUCCACACAAUUCUCUUAUAACGGUCACAGCCGUCUCACCAAUCACGGAUGUAGAACUACUCAUGUUGCCCACAGAUGGAUAUGCCAGGACUAUGGCAAAACUGAUUUGUAACUGUUUUGUAACUCCCGCCCUUCCUUUUUAAAAAAAGGCGGGAGGAAGAAUGGCGGGACAGGCGGGAAAGGGAGGGGGGGGGGGGGGGGGGGAACAGAUGUGGGCGGGUUCAGGGAAAGGUCAACCUGUCACUUUGACAAGAAGUGGUCCAUUUCUUCUCUCCUGACCAAAAGUGAUGGUUUUCCCACGAGAAGACGUCAUAAACAUCAUAAUGUGACCGCAGCAUGAG
Molecule: long non-coding RNA, 1294 nt
Filed under: Takifugu rubripes (torafugu)
Lineage: Eukaryota; Metazoa; Chordata; Actinopteri; Tetraodontiformes; Tetraodontidae
Description: lncRNA (ENSTRUG00000032641.1)
Source: RNAcentral